This is a long non-coding RNA of Bombus terrestris (buff-tailed bumblebee), 1748 nucleotides long. RefSeq lists it as uncharacterized. The record is from RefSeq and is a predicted model, not a curated record. The transcript has 2 exons. Lineage: Eukaryota; Metazoa; Arthropoda; Insecta; Hymenoptera; Apidae.
CCUAAUUUAAAUAACAAAUUAUCGUUUGUGUUAUUAGUUUGGUUCAUUAUUUCUGGCAGUUUCUGGUACGUGGAAUUUGAAGACAAUUACACCAUAAGUUUAUCGACAGCGGUAGUUAUUCAGUAACUGUGUUUGACGCUCUAAGGGCCAACGUUGUAUUGACAUUUCAUUUGCAAUUCUUUUAGUCAAAUUACAUUUCCGAAUUCCGUUUUUUCAUACGAUAUUUAUAAAACGGAGGUUUGUCAUUAUUUAUUUUUCCAUGUAAAUUCUACCAUGUCGUGAAGUUUAAUGAAAUUGAGAUAUUUAUGAUAUUAUGAUGAGCUUUAAGUAAACCGUUUGAAAUUAUAAUAAAUAAUUUUUAUUAAAUUAAUCAAUGGACUAUUCUAGAUAAAAAAAGAUUUAAUGGAUCGUUGGUGGCGUUUUGUCUGAAUCAAAUUCUGCGUAUGCAAUUAAUCGAUAUAAAAAAUUAUUGUUAUGAUAUUAAAAGCGUGAGAUUACGGUGCUACGCUGUAAACAUAAUGAAAACAAAUUAAGCUAAGUAUCGAGCGGCAGAUAUGUACCAACGACGAGGAGCCUCCUGCGACUACAACAUUUAAAAGGAAUGACAUAAAAAACAAAAGAAAAAAAAGGUGAAUCGACGUGAGUGGAACGUCACCGCUUCCGUCACAUAUGUUUCAUUUUUUCUUUUAUUACAAAGCUGUAAGAUGCGAAAAGAAAGGAAUAAUUAACGUCGAAGCACUGUAAUAACUAGCGAAUAUAUGUAUAAAUGUUGUAAAAUUCAUUAGUACCACUAUCAUUCGUGGUUUGCUGUGUGUGGCUAUGUGUGAUUCUGUCUAGUGUAUGUACUUGUUAAAAAUUGUUAAAAGUGUAAGGUUUGCGCAGUUGGCUAUUAAUAAAUUUCCAACACACUUCAAUAGGUGAUACAAACGUGUUUGAGUCCGAUGUAACAAAGAAAUUAAUGAAUAAAUAUGACGAGAAACAAAAGGAUAAGAGAAAGACGAAAACAGAAGUAAACGACAUAAAUAUAUAAUAAAAGAUACAACGAAAGCUGAGAAUUAUUUGCAGGAAAGAAAGAAAGAAAACUAGGAAAAGAAUUAGAUAGAAAGACUAAAAUGACGUUAAGAUUGAAGAGAGCGUAUAUAUAGAAUUUGAAAGAGGACAAAAAAAAAGAAACAAAAGAAAAAUAAACAAUAAGAAUGAAGGAGGAAAAAGUGGUGGCCAGGUAAGAGAAAAAGAGAGCCUGUAGCAGUGACAUGCAGCCUUUUAAGGGGGUCUCACAUCGGUGGCCACUGCAGUGUCGGUCUCGGAACGUGCACUGAGAUACGACAUAGAUGAUUUCUUCCUUGUUAAAGGCACACUCCGACGACGUAGUCUCAGCGCGUCCUUUUCAGUCCCUCCGUACAUGGCGACGUGUGUCGCGAUCUCAAUGUCUGUCUUAAUCAGCGUGUUCAUCAGCUGCAAGGGGACCACACUUUUGAAUCAUUUCUUUCCAUGCGUUACCAAUUGCCUUUUGUUUGCGCUGUACUUGUUGUCUGCUGUCUGAUGACUCCUCGACGGGCCAAGGAUUAGAGAACAAUUGUGAAAAAUGGGCGGGGGUGAUCAUUGCAAAAGGGUUGAAAGGGGGUUUGGGCCAGUGGUAGAUCGAUAGAAUAAUGCGAGGACUUUACGCACACACGGAGAUCAAGUCAACCUUUGGCCAUGAUCCCAUGAUCCAUCUGAUAGAUUCGUUGAGGAACGAACUGUGAAUU